UUAGGUUAGGGUGGGCAGAACCAGAGCCUCGAGCUGCACUUGAGUUUCUCACAAAAGUAGUUAAGCAGUGCCUCUCCCCGCCCGGUACCCACGCAAACAUGGUGGGAGUAUGAUUAAGAAAUACAUCUGGAACCGCGGGCUGCGGCGCCGGGAACGGAGGCAUGGGCUCCCUCUGCGGCACUGUGCGCAGCGAAUGUUUGCCUCCCAGACGGAAGGGGAACUCAAAGUGACCCAGGUUCUCAAAGAAAAGUUUCCUCGAGCCACAGCUAUUCAAGUCACAGACAUCUCAGGAGGCUGCGGGGCGAUGUAUGAAAUAGAAAUCGAAUCAGAAGAAUUUAAAGAGAAGAGGACUGUCCAGCAGCACCAGAUGGUCAAUCAGGCACUGAAAGAAGAGAUCAAGGGCAUGCACGGCCUUCGGAUAUUCACCUCUGUCCCCAAGUGCUGACAGCUGACUGC
Non-coding RNA from Mus caroli (Ryukyu mouse), 456 nucleotides. The record is from RefSeq and is a predicted model, not a curated record. NCBI's taxonomy places the organism in Eukaryota, Metazoa, Chordata, Mammalia, Rodentia, Muridae.